GAUAUACAUGGAAGCAGAAUUUUA
This 24-nucleotide non-coding RNA is filed under the name Cricetulus griseus (Chinese hamster). Lineage: Eukaryota; Metazoa; Chordata; Mammalia; Rodentia; Cricetidae. The record is from RNAcentral.